GAUCUGAAAUCAGGUAGGAUUACCCGCUGAACUUAAGCAUAUCAAUAAGCGGAGGAAAAGAAACUAACAAGGAUUCCCUCAGUAACGGCGAGUGAAGCGGGAAGAGCUCAAAUUUAAAAUCUGGUUUACUUGUAAGCCCGAGUUGUAGUCUGAAGAAACGUUUUCCAUAAGCACUGAGGCAAAAGUCCCUUGGAACAGGGCAUCAUAGAGGGUGAGAAUCCCGUCCAUGGUCUCAAGUUGUUUAUUUUGUGAUACGUUUUCAAAGAGUCAGGUUGUUUGGGAAUGCAGCCUAAAAUGGGUGGUAAAUUUCAUCUAAAGCUAAAUAUUGGCGAGAGACCGAUAGCGAACAAGUACCGUGAGGGAAAGAUGAAAAGAACUUUGAAAAGAGAGUUAAACAGUACGUGAAAUUGUUGAAAGGGAACCGU
Molecule: ribosomal RNA, 425 nt
Filed under: uncultured fungus
Lineage: Eukaryota; Fungi
Description: eukaryotic LSU rRNA
Rfam family: Eukaryotic large subunit ribosomal RNA
Source: RNAcentral